GUGGGGAAUAUUCCGCAAUGGACGAAAGUCUGACGGAGCAACGCCGCGUGAGUGAUGAAGGUUUUCGGACUGUAAAGCUCUGUUGUUUGGGACGAAAGUGCCUGUUGCGAACAGUUACGGGUAUUGACGGUACUAAACGAGGAAGCCACGGCUAACUACGUGCCAGCAGCCGCGGUAAUACGUAGGUGGCAAGCGUUGUCCGGAAUUAUUGGGCGUAAAGAGCAUGUAGGCGGGAAUCUAAGUCUGUUGUUAAAAUGCGGGGCUCAACCCCGUAUUGCGAUGGAAACUGGGUUUCUUGAGUGCAGGAGAGGAAAGGGGAAUUCCCAGUGUAGCGGUGAAAUGCGUAGAUAUUGGGAGGAACACCAGUGGCGAAGGCGCCUUUCUGGAUUGUGUCUGACGCUGAGAUGCGAAAGCCAGGGUAGCGAACGGGAUUAGAUACCCCUGUAGUCC
This 450-nucleotide ribosomal RNA is filed under the name uncultured bacterium. RNAcentral describes it as "partial 16S ribosomal RNA". It matches the Rfam family "Bacterial small subunit ribosomal RNA", at positions 354 to 796 of the family's 1533-position model. The record is from RNAcentral.